GACGAACGCUGGCGGCGUGGAUUAGGCAUGCAAGUCGAACGGUAUCAUCCUUUCGGGGGUGAGAGAGUGGCGAACUGGUGAGUAACACGUAGGUUAUCUACCCUCAAGACGGGGACAACCCAGGGAAACUUGGGCUAAUACCGGAUGAGAGUGCGAGAGAUUGCAUUUAAAAGGAUGGCGAAAGUUGUCGCUUAGGGAUGAGCCUGCGGUCUAUUAGUUAGUUGGUGAGGUAAGAGCUCACCAAGGCGAUGAUAGAUAGGCGGCCUUAACGGGUGGUCGCCCACACUGGGAUUGAGAUACGGCCCAGACUCCUACGGGAGGCAGCAGUCGAGAAUAGUCUACAAUGGCCGGAAGGCUGGAUUAGUGCGACGCCGCGUGAACGAGGGAGCCCUUCGGGGUGUAAAGUUCUUUUCUAUACGAGCAGUGCUAUAUAUAUGGAUAGUAUAUAUAGAGGGAUAGUAGUAUAGGAAUAAGCAACGGCUAAACUCCGUGCCCAGCAGCCGAC
Molecule: ribosomal RNA, 505 nt
Filed under: uncultured bacterium
Lineage: Bacteria
Description: bacterial SSU rRNA
Rfam family: Bacterial small subunit ribosomal RNA
Source: RNAcentral